UCAGGAAUUUUGCGCAAUGGGGGAAACCCUGACGCAGCGACACCGAGUGAAGGAUGAAGGCUUUAGGGUCGUAAACUUCUUUUAUCUAGGAACAACACAAAUGAGUACUAGUUGAAUAAGCAGCUGCUAACUGCGUGCCAGAAGCAUCGGUAAUACGUGGGCUGCAAGCGUUAUCCGGAAUUAUUGGGCGUAAAGAGAAGCGUAGGCGGCUUUGUAAGUCUUUUGUUAAAUCCCCAGGCUCAACCUGGGAAAGGCAAAAGAUACUGCUUAGCUUGAGGCAGAGAGGGGUAAGUGGAAUUCCCAGUGGAGCGGUAAAAUGCAUUGAUAUUGGGAGGAACACUAGUGGCGAAAGCGACUUACUGGCUCUUGCCUGACGCUAAGGCUCGAAAGUGUGGGGAGCGAAACGG
RNAcentral lists this ribosomal RNA (407 nucleotides) under uncultured bacterium. RNAcentral's name for it is "bacterial SSU rRNA". It matches the Rfam family "Bacterial small subunit ribosomal RNA", at positions 355 to 776 of the family's 1533-position model. The record is from RNAcentral.